Molecule: long non-coding RNA, 230 nt
Filed under: Lathyrus oleraceus (garden pea)
Lineage: Eukaryota; Viridiplantae; Streptophyta; Magnoliopsida; Fabales; Fabaceae
Description: Pisum sativum (pea) long non-coding RNA (PSAT_LNC003108)
Source: RNAcentral
GAAGAUUUCCCGCAUCCCGUGAACGCGGACAUAGUUAAAAAAUACUACGCAUGAAAAAGACCCGCUAGAUCGACGUAUCUAGGCAAAAGUAAGGGCAUCCCGGCGAACCAAAAGGGUUCGGGCAAAAAUUAGGGAUAUAUAUAAAAAAAUGUACACCCGGCAAGUCGAAAACCUGAAAAGGUGGCUUGGGCAAAAAAGGGUAUCCUGGUGGACUGAAAACCUGAAAAGGC